Molecule: long non-coding RNA, 2037 nt
Organism: Papaver somniferum (opium poppy)
Lineage: Eukaryota; Viridiplantae; Streptophyta; Magnoliopsida; Ranunculales; Papaveraceae
Exons: 2
Source: RefSeq, a predicted model, not a curated record
UCAAUAAAAUGGGAAAGACUAAUCCGAAUAAUAGUAUUUUGAUUAUUCUUCAACCAAUUAGAGACUUCUUCUUCGUUAAGAUAAAAUGUUUUGUAGAAGAAGUAGUUUGCGCUAAUCUUCAUAAUCCCAAUUCAUUUCAAUAACCAUUGAUCUUCUUCAUAUAGAUCUUGAUCAUCGUCACAUCGGGAUUGAUCGUCUUCAAAGAUAUGCUCCAAUCUAUCAUCGAAUUUCAAUACAAGAGUCCAAAGUCUAUAACAAAACGCACUAAUGACGAUUAGAAUUAAUAUUAUUUUAAUGAAAUAGCCAUUAUAUAUACAACAUCAGUAACAUAAAAAUAAAAUCUAAAACCUAAAUCACAAUGUGAUUUUUUAUUGAAAGCAAAAAAAUAAUUAUACGGUUAAAAACCCAAAUUCAAUCGGAGAAUUUGAUAUAUCAGAUUCAAUCCUAAUAAAUUUAGGUUUGAAGAAGAAGAUUUUACAAAAACUAGAUUUGGAUAACUAUUUAGAAAUUUUUUUUAUGGAGAAGACAAUGGAGAGAGUUAAAAAGUUAUUCAUGAUGUUAGUGGAAGUAAAUACGAUCCGGUGAAAUGAACGGUUAAAAUAAAAUUUUAAAAUGGACAUUUAUACAUGUGCUUAGUUUUCUCCUUCGUACACGAUGUACACUAUUACAUCCCAGAAAAUCCCGUUAUCUUCUCCUUCUCUACCAUCAACACCAGAACCCAAACUCAUCCACAAUCUUCACUAUCACCAACACCAUAAUCACCGGCAAUAGCAUCGCCUCCUCCACUACAAUCAACAAUCAAUCCAACACCAAAACCUUGUUAUUUUCCCCCUCUCCACCACCAAACCAACAAAUUUCUCCACCACGACCAUAUCCAGCACCACCUCCUCUACUACAAUCAAUAAACAUCACCUUUCUUCACCACCAGCAAUGAAUCAAAUAUCACCAUCAUCGACAUUUAAAUCGCCAGAUGUAUUGGUUUUCAAAUACCCUAAAAAAAAAUCUUCUAAAGCCCUAGUUUCUCAAAUUCUUCAAUAACUUUCAAAGGAUGAGCAGCGUAGAACAUACAUUGACUGUAAAUAUUCUCCGAACUCGAAGCCAAAGCAGGAGGAAUUUUGCUGAAUCAAAGCACAAAAAAUAAUCCUGAACGAAGAACAAGCAUGAUAUUAAUGUGCAUGUGGAUGUCGAAAAUCAAGCACAAAGGAAAGUCAUGUGAAGAAAAAGUAAGUGAAGAAAACAUUUAGAUCAAGUUUUUUUAUGGAUGAUCACCCCAAUGAAUGAAUUGACAAUCGGAAAUGCUAUUUGACUCCCUUUUUUCCACCUCCCUAUUCACCUCCCUCCAAUCUCAAUCACACAUCCAGAUUUAAAUUCACAUUAGGGUUCACCAUUUCCUAGAUGUGGGGUUUAGAUUGUAGGGAGGUGAUUAGGGAGGUAGAAAAGAGGGAGCCAAAUAGCACGGCCGAUUGACAAUCACACUAAAACAGUGGGAAGUGUUAAAGAUGACUGAAUUCGGGAAUAUAGUUAGUGCACUCAAAAAAACUAGAAAAGAUGGAAUAUUGGAAGCUCAAAAUUUAGCUUCGCUCUUGUUUUGACAAUUCAUUACCCAAGCUCUAUACAUACAGUGUAUGGCAUGAUGAAGGCGUAAUGAUGACCCUAGCUUAGAUUUAUAUUUGAUAUCCCCCCUUUCUUAAACACAAUUUUUUGUUUUAGUUACGUAAUUAUGAUGCUUUGGAGUUCAAUCUUCGUUUACAUCACUAAUUGAUUUACGGUGCAAUACUUUUUAGAAGUUCUUUUGGUUGAGACUUUUGUUGUACAGUUUUCCUACAAAUAUUAAAAUAGGGUUUGUAGCACGGAAAAAUAACUAUAAGGGAUAGAACAAAAAAGUGUUGGUGGUUCGUUUCGUACAUCUUUGUUUGUGGGGAUAAUAAUGUAUUAUUUGAUAUGUGUUUAUAGCAGUACAGUUUUCAUGUUUAGGGAUUUUUCCUUUUUGUUGUUUAACAAAUUGCUAUGAAGUCUAGAUUUGUUUCUAUUUUGUUA